UCUGGGAAACCCGAAAGAUCGAAAGGGGAGAUUCACCGUCAGCGACGUUGGCUUCUCGUCGGCUCGUCGCGCGCUCCCGCGGCCAUCCCUCGCCGGAUGCGUCGCGUGUGUAGUCGCGCGGCGUCCUUCGUGCGCGCGAUUUCGCGACCCAUGCCCGACGGCGUAGACGUGCACUUCUCCCCUAGUAGAACGUCGCGACCCGCUGAGCGCCGGUCUACGGCCCGGUGCGUCGCCUGUUCCGCCGUCCUUUGUGGCGUCGCGGGGCAGACGCCCGGUGCAACGUCCCGACCGGCUGCCCGGCGGUAUCUCUCGCAAGGUACUCUGGCCGCAAGCGCGCGUCCGCGCGCGCCGUGCGUCCUUCGAAAAAGGCUCGCCGCAAGCGCGGUCAGUGUUAACGCAAACCCGUGUCUGUACGGACGAACUACGCCGUCGCCGGGGCUGACCCGCUGUUCGCUGCGCGAUGUCCUCGGACAGGCAUGUGUAGUACCGGUCAGCGACGCUAUUGCUUUGGGUAUUUCAGG
RNAcentral lists this ribosomal RNA (521 nucleotides) under Evaniella sp. 230. RNAcentral's name for it is "partial 28S ribosomal RNA". Lineage: Eukaryota; Metazoa; Arthropoda; Insecta; Hymenoptera; Evaniidae. The record is from RNAcentral.